This is a long non-coding RNA of Homo sapiens (human), 4912 nucleotides long. Lineage: Eukaryota; Metazoa; Chordata; Mammalia; Primates; Hominidae. The record is from Ensembl.
CUGUGGAAGUGGGGUCCCCGGGGUCAGCCGUUGCCCCCUCGCCCGCCCUGGACUUGCUGCCUGCCCUGGGUCAUCUGUUCUGGCCCAUCAGCGCCGAGGACAAGGAGCAGCAGCCCACCCAGAUCAAGUCACUGUGCAUGAACUGUUACCGCAAUGGCAUGACGCGCCUCCUGCUCACCAAGAUUCCCUUCUUCAGAGAAAUAAUCGUGAGCUCCUUUUCCUGCCACCACUGUGGCUGGAACAACACGGAGAUCCAAUCGGCAGGCAGGAUCCAGGACCAGGGAGUGCGCUACACUUUGAGCAUCAGGGCUCUGGAGGACAUGAACAGAGAAGUGGUGAAGACUGACUCUGCUACCACAAGGAUUCCUGAGCUAGAUUUUCAAAUUCCUGCCUUUAGCCAGAAAGGAGGUCUGAACACUGUUGAAGGAUUGAUCACCCGUGCUAUCUCUGGCCGGGAGCAGGACUAGCCUGCGCGAAGGGCAACAAAGAUGCCACAGCUGAAAGAAUUGAUGAGUUCAUUGUCAAACUGAAGGAGCUAAAGCAAUCAGCCUCCCCUUUCACUCUGAUCAUUGAUGAUCCCUCAGGGAACAGCUUUGUGGAAAACCCACAGGCUGCUCAGAAAGAUGAUGCCCUGGUGAUCACACACUACAACCAGACCCGACAGCAGGAAGAGAUGCUGGGGCUCCAAGCAGAAGCACCAACAGAGAAGCCAGAAGAGGAAGAUCUCAGAAAUGAAGUGCUCCAGUUUAACACAAACGGCCCAGAAUGCAAUGCCCCCACUCAGACCAACAUGAAGCUAGUACAAAUCCCUCACUUUAAGGAGGGACCAAGUACAAGAACUGCGUGCAUCAGACCAAUGAGGUGAAAUCUGGAGAAGCAGUAGAACCCUUGGGCACCAGGAUCACCCUCCACAUCACAGGUCCCUCAGAUAUGACCAGAGACCUCCUCAAGUCUGAGACUUGUAGUGUGGAAAUCCCAGAGCCAGAAUUUGACUGGGAAUGGCCAUCCUCAGGUGCAAGUUCACCACACUAGAAGGGCUGCUGAAAGAUAUCUGGGAACUGGUGACCAAAAACCCUUUCACACUGGGCGACAGUUCCAAUCCUGGCCAGACGGAGAGACUGCAGGAGUUUAGCCAGAAGAUGGACCAGAUCAUCGAAGGUAACAUGAAGACCGACUUUAUUAUGGAUGAUUCAGCAGGAAACAGUUACUUGCAGAAUGUGUAUGCAACUGAAGAUGAUCCUGAGAUGAAGGCGGAGCAUUAUAAGCACACCUUUGACUAAAAUGAGGAGCUAGAGCUCAAUGACAUGAAGACAGAGGGCUAUGAGGCAGGCCUGGCUCCACAACGGUAGCAGUGGGUGGGUCAAGGGCCAGCUCUCCAGCGCUGCUCAUUCUGCAGGUUAUUUAUUAGUAUUGGAAGAAGGCUGGGAGUGUCUUGCCCACCAGCCCUUGCCCAUGGUGGGGAGGACAUCUUGUCUGAGUCAGAGAUCUAGGCACAUUUUCUAAACAGCUUGUAAUGCAAGUGUGAGCCUAUUGUGUUACUUGACCUUAUUUUGAGGCUUUGAAUUGGCCUAGGAAGAAACCCAGAAAUGAACCAGGGGUAUGUCAUUAUCACUUUUUUCAUAUCAAGUCUUUACCCUCCCUCCACAUAAUGCUCUGUCCUCUAAGGUUGGAACUCUGAAGUUGGAGAAAGUGGAAUAAAAUUACACCUGGAAAAUGAAAUAAAAUAUUCUGGUAUCAGCAUUUAGCUAAAUAGAUCAAUGGGGCAAAUUUUCUGAAAAAGUUAGAAACACACAUAAGUAGGAACUUAGGAUAUAAGAGGUGACACUGCAAAUCAGCAGGGAAAGGAUGACUAUUCAAUAAAUGGCACUGUGACUAUUGGCUAAUAAUAUUUUCUAAGAGAAAAAUUAGAUUCGUACCUCACUGUGUGAACAAAAAUAAAUUUCAGAUGUGUUAAGGAAAAGCAGUAAACAUUUAGACAGAACUACAGGAAAAUAUUUCAAUGACAUCCAAGGAGGGUAGGGUUUCUUAAACAAUACAAAACCAAAAAUUAUCAUGGAAAAGUGAGAAGUUGAAGUAGAUAAUUUUUUUAAACUUCUUAAUGACAAAUGGCACUAACAGCAAAGCAAGAAGACAAACACAGACUUGGAGAAAAUAGUUAUAUCCCACAUUUCCAACCAAAGAUUACUAUCCAAAAUGUACAACUAGUUCCUACAAAUAAGCAAGAAAAAGAGCAACAACCGAACAUCAAAAAAGCUUAAGGAUGUUAACAAGCAAUCGGCAAAAGAGGACAUUUAAUGGUCUAUAGACGCAUGAAAAUGUGCUCGCCUUUAUUAGUAGUCAAGGAGAUGCAAAUUAAAACAAAUAGAUACUAUUUCAUGCCUAUUAGAGUGGGAAUUUCUUGAAAAAACUCUGACAAUACCAAAAGUUGAUGAGAAUGGAGAAAUGGAUACUUACAUCCACUGCUAGUGGGCAUGUAAAAAUGACAGACCCACUGUAGAGAGCGAUUUGGCAACACCUGGUAAAGUUAAUGCAUAACCUAUGACCAAAAAUUCUGCCACUAUAUGUCUAGAAGUUCCCAAGAGACACGUGGGUCCAAGGAGAUAUGAACAAAAGCACAUUCUUUCAGCACUCUGGGUAAUAGCUUAAAAGUGGAAACAAGCUACCUGACCUUCAGGAGCAAAAUGGGCAAAUCAAAUGUGGAUUAUUCAUGCAAUGCAAUGCUGCACAGCCAUUAAAAUGAGUGAACUAGAUCCUUAUCACCUACAUGGAUACAUCUAAAAUGUGUAAUGAUAAACUAGAAAGAUGCAACAUAAAUAUUUAUACAAUAUAAUUUACAUAAAAUGUAAAGUACAUGAAACGAUAGUAUAUAUAAUUUACUAAUAUACGUUAAAGAUACUCAGAUCUUCCUGGUUAUGGUUCACAUAUAUGAAGGGGGGAGAGAGAGGCCUCCUAAACCAGGUGUCCGAAUAUUACAACAUCUAGAAAGACUCUUGAACUUACACUUCAUAAAAGAUAAAAGGAGUGUUUUUUUAAAGAGCAACUGAGCUACUAAUGAGAAUUUGGCACUAUUUAUGUUUUUAUGUAUAAAGAACCCUAAAGGACAUUCGAUGGAUUCUGGUAUCGGUUGCCAGUUCUUCUUCACUUAGGAACUGAUGCUACUAACCCUUAGUUGGUGGGGCUAAGAGAACAGUUCUGGCCUAGCUCCUGUCUCCUACAGGUCCUUCAGGAGCAAAAUGGGCAAACAAAAUGUGGAUUAUACAUAGAGUGCAACACUGGGUUAUUCUCCCUCACCCAGCCUACUAGUCUGCCCAGAAAAUCCCCAUCCUGCUUCUGUUGGAUUCUUUCCUGUGUUUCCUUUGCCACUUGCUGAAAGUACAGUACCAUUCUAGCAUCCCAAGUUUUACUUGCUGAUUUCUGUUGAAGACUCUACAGCCCAACUCUGCCUUUCUGAUGGGUCUGGAAGGCAGUGUGCCUAUUCAGUACAUGUGCCUAUUCAGGGGAGAUGCCUCCCUGGACAGGGUUAGCUUUUCUCUAGGUGCUACAAUGCUGGGCAGAGGACCUUAAAUCUCCUUUGGUUUGGAGUGACAGAACCAUAAUCCUUCCUGAGCUCCUUUUUUAAACACUCAUACAUACACACAUGCUUUCAUAUACAUGCACAUGUACACACACUCAGACAAAAAAAUGCACACACAAAUACCUACACCACUCCCUUCUCUGCAACAGGAGUCGGGACUGCUUGGUUACUCUAAAUCCAGUAUCGUAUAGGUGUUGUGUGGCAGAUCUGAUUUUAUAAUGGAAGACAAUGGGAAUAAUAGGAUUUGCUAUUCACGAACACAUAGAUCUCAAAUAUCAAAGGACAACUGUAUGAUACCAUUGGAACCAUUAUAACACAGUAGCCGUCUCCCACUUGCCAAGCUCAAAGCAUAUAACUUUUCUUUUUCACGUUGGGAGCAGAGGUGAUUGAAUUAUACUCCUCAGUUCUUAUCCCAUUACCGUGACUGUAUGUGAGGUCCCUCUCUAGUUUUACAACUGUGCUUCCUUUUAUAUUCCCCUUUGUGUCUGAUUCCACUUUCAUUUCCCUUGCCCCCACCCACAGGCAUCUGCUGGAAUGGGUUUGAUAUUUGCCCAAUUGUUAUUUAUCCUGUUGCUUUUCUACUGGGACGGCACGGCAAGAGGAUGUUUAUCUCUGAUUCAUUAUGCUGAUUCAUUUUUGUUAAGCAGCCACACAAUUUCAGGUAUAGUGCUGGAGUGGAUCCCACUGUGGAACCUAGCAGCCAAACUGAACUGAACAUCUGUUUAAUUUAAAUGGUGGGUCCUGGGGUGUCAGUUCCAUUAUUUUGUUUGUAUUACAAAACUUGGCUUACAAGAUCACACUCUUGUUUAAAAAAAAAAAAAAGUGUCCUUUAAAUUGGGAAAAUGCUCAUCUGUCCUGAAUGAGUUAAGAGUGCUUCUGCCUGCAAGCAGAGUGUGCGGUGACUCACUGUCCCAUGAAGACGCCUUCCCUUCUACCUUAAGACUGCGUCUGUCCCGCAGAACGCCACGUGCGGGCGUCCCUGGAACCUGGCCCAUAGGUGGCAGUCUCCCUUCAUCGUUCCCGGACUACGAACCUCCGAAGGGCAGCCUGAGAAAGCAGUUGCUUUUGCUUUUUCUUCGGGUUUCCUAAUAUUUAAUGUUCCCUCCACUCACCUUCCCCCUCCAUCCCACAGAGAGUGUAGAGAUUGCAUCCCUGGAGGCUAGCAAACGACAAAAGAAACUUCGUCUGGAACCAGUCAAAGUCGGGAGACCUGCGUUGUGCCGACUCUCGAUGCGAUUGUUUUGGAAUUUUGCUGAAGCUCUCUUGCAGAAUUGCUCUGUAAAUGGCAAGAAGAAAUGCCUUUCACUAUAAACAGAAAAUAAAGCUUUCACAAGUUGU